UUAUAUCAGUUAUUAUUUAUUUGAUGGUCUCUUACUACUUGGAUAACCGUGGUAAUUCUAGAGCUAAUACAUGCGAAAAGUCCCGACGCAAGAAGGGAUGUAUUUAUUAGAUAAAAGGCUAAUAGCUGCCUCUGGUAGCUUUUUGGUGACUCAUAGUAACUGUUCGAAUCGAGGCUCACGCCGCGAUAGUUCAUUCAAAUUUCUGCCCUAUCAGCUUCCGACGGUAGUGUAGUGGACUACCAUGGCUUUCACGGGUAACGGAGGAUUAGGGUUCGAUUCCGGAGAGGGAGCCUGAGAAACGGCUACCACAUCUAAGGAAGGCAGCAGGCGCGUAAAUUACCCAAUCCUGACUCAGGGAGGUAGUGACAAGAAAUAACGAGCAGUGGCAUUCGCCACUGAAUUGCAAUGAGCCGAAUUUACACCACUUAGUGAGGAUCGAUUGGAGGGCAAGUCUGGUGCCAGCAGCCGCGGUAAUUCCAGCUCCAAUAGCGUAUAUUAAAGUUGUUGCAGUUAAAAAGCUCGUAGU
This 526-nucleotide ribosomal RNA is filed under the name uncultured eukaryote. Its description in RNAcentral is "bacterial SSU rRNA". It matches the Rfam family "Eukaryotic small subunit ribosomal RNA", at positions 101 to 634 of the family's 1831-position model. The record is from RNAcentral.